UACGGGGGGGCAAGCGUUGUUCGGAAUUACUGGGCGUAAAGGGCUCGUAGGCGGCCAACUAAGUCGGACGUGAAAUCCCUCGGCUUAACCGGGGAACUGCGUCCGAUACUGGAUGGCUCGAGUGUGGGAGAGGGAUGCGGAAUUCCAGGUGUAGCGGUGAAAUGCGUAGAUAUCUGGAGGAACACCAAUGGCGAAGGCAGCUCGCUGGGACGGUACUGACGCUGAGACGUGAAAGCGUGGGGAGCAAACAGG
This 252-nucleotide ribosomal RNA is filed under the name uncultured bacterium. RNAcentral describes it as "partial 16S ribosomal RNA". It matches the Rfam family "Bacterial small subunit ribosomal RNA", at positions 524 to 776 of the family's 1533-position model. The record is from RNAcentral.